This 78-nucleotide transfer RNA is filed under the name Camelus ferus (Wild Bactrian camel). It matches the Rfam family "tRNA". Rfam says of the family: Transfer RNA (tRNA) molecules are approximately 80 nucleotides in length. Their secondary structure includes four short double-helical elements and three loops (D, anti-codon, and T loops). Lineage: Eukaryota; Metazoa; Chordata; Mammalia; Artiodactyla; Camelidae. The record is from Rfam by way of RNAcentral.
GGGGGUAUAGCUCAGUUGGUAGAGCAGAGCGCGUGCUGAGCAUGCACGAAGUACUUGGUUCAAUUCCCAGUAUGUCCA